This 1106-nucleotide ribosomal RNA is filed under the name Bacillus sp. R11(2010). RNAcentral's name for it is "bacterial SSU rRNA". It matches the Rfam family "Bacterial small subunit ribosomal RNA", at positions 50 to 1158 of the family's 1533-position model. Lineage: Bacteria; Bacillati; Bacillota; Bacilli; Caryophanales; Bacillaceae. The record is from RNAcentral.
CUAUCAUGCAGUCGAGCGAGAGAGGGAGCUUGCUCCCUGAUCUUAGCGGCGGACGGGUGAGUAACACGUGGGCAACCUGCCCUGCAGACUGGGAUAACUCCGGGAAACCGGAGCUAAUACCGGGUAAUACAUCGCACCGCAUGGUGCAAUGUUGAAAGUUGGCUUUCUGAGCUAACACUGCAGGAUGGGCCCGCGGCGCAUUAGCUAGUUGGUAAGGUAAUGGCUUACCAAGGCGACAAUGCGUAGCCAACCUGAGAGGGUGAUCGGCCACACUGGGACUGAAACACGGCCCAAACUCCUACGGGAGGCAGCAGUAGGGAAUCUUCCGCAAUGGACGAAAGUCUGACGGAGCAACGCCGCGUGAGUGACGAAGGCCUUCGGGUCGUAAAGCUCUGUUGUUAGGGAAGAACAAGUACCGUUCGAAUAGGGCGGUACCUUGACGGUACCUAACCAGAAAGCCACGGCUAACUACGUGCCAGCAGCCGCGGUAAUACGUAGGUGGCAAGCGUUGUCCGGAAUUAUUGGGCGUAAAGCGCGCGCAGGCGGUCUUUUAAGUCUGAUGUGAAAGCCCACGGCUCAACCGUGGAGGGUCAUUGGAAACUGGAGGACUUGAGUGCAGAAGAGGAGAGUGGAAUUCCACGUGUAGCGGUGAAAUGCGUAGAUAUGUGGAGGAACACCAGUGGCGAAGGCGGCUCUCUGGUCUGUAACUGACGCUGAGGCGCGAAAGCGUGGGGAGCAAACAGGAUUAGAUACCCUGGUAGUCCACGCCGUAAACGAUGAGGUGCUAGGUGUUGGGGGGUUCCACCCUCAGUGCUGAGUUAACACAUUAAGCACUCCGCCUGGGGAGUACGACCGCAAGGUUGAACUCAAGGAAUUGACGGGGGCCCGCACAGCAGUGAGCAUGGUGGUUUAAUUCGAAGCACGCGAGACUUUACAAGUCUUGACAUCUCUGACAUCUGAGACCGAACGUUCUCUCGGGGACGAUGACGUGUGCAUGAUGUCGUCAGCUCUGUCUGAAUGUUAGUUAAGUUCCGCACGAGGCCACCUGAUCUAAUGCAGCAUAGUUCGUGACUUAGGUACUGCGAGUCAACCGAGACUGGCUGCGA